RNAcentral lists this ribosomal RNA (497 nucleotides) under uncultured bacterium. Its description in RNAcentral is "partial 16S ribosomal RNA". It matches the Rfam family "Bacterial small subunit ribosomal RNA", at positions 28 to 507 of the family's 1533-position model. The record is from RNAcentral.
GAUGAACGCUGGCGGCGUGCCUAACACAUGCAAGUCGAACGGGUAUACGAUGAGUUUUCUCCUGUGAGGUUGGCGGGGACCGGGGGGGUAACACGUAGAUAACCUACCUAUAAUUCUGGGAUAACUUCGGGAAGCCGGAGCUAUUAGCGGAUAAUAUGUUGUACCGCAUGGUUCAGUAGUGAAAGACGGUUUUGUUGUCACUUUUAGAUGGAGCCGGGCCGGAUUAGCUAGUUGGUAAGGUAACGGCUUACCAAGGCAACGGUGCGUAGCCGACCUGAGAGGAUGAUCGGCCACACUGGAACUGAGACACGGUCCAGACUCCUACGGGAGGCAGCAGUAGGGAAUCUUCCGCAAUGGGCGAAAGCCUGACGGAGCAACGCCGCGUGGGUGAUGAAGGUCUUCGGCUCGUAAAGCUCUGUUAUUGGGGAAGAACAAAUGCGUGAGUAUCUAUGCACGUUUUGACGGUACCUAAUCAGAAAGCCACGGCUAACUACGUG